AACGAACGCUGGCGGCGUGCUUAAGACAUGCAAGUCGAACGGUAAGGCCCCCUUCGGGGGGUACACGAGUGGCGCACGGGUGAGUAACACGUGGGUAAUCUACCUUCAGGUCUGGGACAACUCCGGGAAACUGGAGCUAAUACCGGAUGAGACCACAGGGCCUUCGGGUCUGGUGGGAAAAGAUGGCCUCUUCAUGAAAGCUAUCGCUCGAAGAUGAGCCCGCGUCGCAUUAGUUAGUUGGUGAGGUAACGGCUCACCAAGACGAAGAUGCGUAGCUGGUCUGAGAGGAUGACCAGCCACACUGGAACUGAGACACGGUCCAGACUCCUACGGGUGGCAG
This 340-nucleotide ribosomal RNA is filed under the name uncultured Pseudomonadota bacterium. Its description in RNAcentral is "bacterial SSU rRNA". It matches the Rfam family "Bacterial small subunit ribosomal RNA", at positions 29 to 351 of the family's 1533-position model. The record is from RNAcentral. Lineage: Bacteria; Pseudomonadati; Pseudomonadota.